AGUGCCAGGGGGUGCCGUUGUGAGGGAUGGACGCCUCUCCCCCGGAGCAGCACUUUGGGGCCAGCUUGGGCCCUGGGGAUGAGCCACAGGGGACCCACAGCCUAUGCGUGUGAGCAUGUAACCCGGGAGCCAGCUGGGCCCCUCGCGGGGUGGGCAGAAGGACGGGCUGGCCCAGGACCCUCUUCUUUGAGACAUCCCGGACUCCAUCUCGGAUGAAAGUGCUUUGAGAAACCACAGAGUUUUCUGUUUAAUGGAAGAAAGAAAUCCAGCCUCUCUCCAGAGUGGCGGUGGCCGGCUAGACAGGCAGGUAUCGCUCCCCUGGGGAACUUGGGUAAGUCCAUAAAUAGCUCUGCUGACACAAAGGAGCUCUGUCUGGGGAAGGCAGCCGCUUGACACGGCCGCCAGGAGCUGCCACAGCCACGGCCGCCCGCCUGCGGGAGGAGCCGGGUGGAAACCUGGGCGGGCGAGCUGGCAGGAGCGGCAGCCAGGAGUCGCCUGGGUCCCUGCUGGAGUAUGCUGGAUGCCAGCGUGACCCCUGACACGUGUGUGCAGCAGCCUGCAGCUGCCCCAAGCCAUGGCUGAACACUGACUCCCAGCUGUGGGGCUUCACCAUUACAGACUCCCCAGGGCUUCAAAGACUUCUCAGCUUCGAGCAUGGCUUUUGGCUGUCA
RNAcentral lists this long non-coding RNA (671 nucleotides) under Homo sapiens (human). RNAcentral's name for it is "non-protein coding lnc-C9orf43-6:2". Lineage: Eukaryota; Metazoa; Chordata; Mammalia; Primates; Hominidae. The record is from RNAcentral.